UGAGCCCUUGUAGUUGAUGUUGAUGACAGUUGGUCCACUGUAAGAGUAGGAUGCGCAUCCAGAUGGAAUCUAUCGAUCUUGAUAGAAAGGAGUAGUCUCAUGAAAUUUGAGAGGCUAAGCCUGAGAGUCUGUAGCCAUGCAGUAUAAUUGAUGAAAAAAAAUUUUUAUAAAGAUCACAAUUGCAUCUGAGUUGAUCAAAUCUAUCAUAUGACUGAUAAUGAGGAUUGAUGAUUUAUCCAUAACCUACCAUCUAGUCGGGACACACG
Molecule: long non-coding RNA, 266 nt
Filed under: Elaeis guineensis (African oil palm)
Lineage: Eukaryota; Viridiplantae; Streptophyta; Magnoliopsida; Arecales; Arecaceae
Description: long non-coding RNA (EGUI_LNC055576)
Source: RNAcentral